Molecule: ribosomal RNA, 154 nt
Filed under: uncultured bacterium
Lineage: Bacteria
Description: partial 16S ribosomal RNA
Rfam family: Bacterial small subunit ribosomal RNA
Source: RNAcentral
UGGAGCGCAGCCUGAUGCAGCCAUGCCGCGUGCAGAUGAAGCAUCUAUGGUGUGUAAACUGCUUUUAUACAGGAAGAACCCUACCACGUGUGGUAGAUUGACGGUACUGUAGGAAUAAGGAUCGGCUAACUCCGUGCCAGCAGCCGCGGUAAUA